GAAAAUUUGGACUGGCUUUUGGAAACCCUUAAAAAGAGAAAAUUGAGAAAUAAGAACAAAAUGUGAGGUUAUUUUUGCAUAUGAAGUCAGUCUGAAGAGUUCUUGAGAACAAAGAAAAUAUUGUUUCAUAGCCUUCAAUUUCCUGAGUUUGUUUCCAACCUUCAACUGGAACUUCAGUUCCUACAUUUCCUUAAAGAAGAAGCAUGAUUUGUUUCUGUUUCAUUCGAGUUUGGUUUGUGGUUGCUGGAUUCACUUUUGAGCAUCUUGGUACUGUUGUUGGGUUAUUUUGGGAUCUUAUUUGGUUUUGAAACCAUUCCACUUUUGAGCAUCUUGGAUUUGUUUCUGUUUCAUUCGAGUUUGGUUUGUGGUUGCUGGAUUCACUUUUGAGCAUCUUGGUACUGUUGUUGGGUUAUUUUGGGAUCUUAUUUGGUUUUGAAACCAUUCCGAAAUUUGGUUUGGUUUUUCUCUACUGCUGGAACUUUUUCGCUGAUUCCGCUCGAUCCAAAGUGUUUUUAGGCCAUAUUUUGAUUUCCUGGGCUUUGUUGUGUUGCUGUGUCCUGGUGCUGUUAUUGCUGCUGUCGCUAAUCUCUCUUCUUCUUCUAUUUCACAUUCCAAGUACACAUUCUGAUAAUGUGUAUUGAAGUUAUGAAG
Molecule: long non-coding RNA, 651 nt
Filed under: Nicotiana benthamiana
Lineage: Eukaryota; Viridiplantae; Streptophyta; Magnoliopsida; Solanales; Solanaceae
Description: long non-coding RNA (NBEN_LNC040147)
Source: RNAcentral